Molecule: ribosomal RNA, 252 nt
Filed under: uncultured Bacteroidales bacterium
Lineage: Bacteria; Pseudomonadati; Bacteroidota; Bacteroidia; Bacteroidales
Description: partial 16S ribosomal RNA
Rfam family: Bacterial small subunit ribosomal RNA
Source: RNAcentral
UACGUAGGGAGCAAGCGUUGUUCGGAAUGACUGGGCGUAAAGGGUGCGCAGGCGGUCUGUUAAGUCAGCGGUCAAAGCCCGGGGCUCAACCCCGGCCCGCCGUUGAAACUGGCAGUCUCGAGUUGGAGAGAAGUAUGCGGAAUGCGCGGUGUAGCGGUGAAAUGCAUAGAUAUCACGCAGAACUCCGAUUGCGAAGGCAGCAUACCGGCGCUCAACUGACGCUCAUGCACGAAAGCGUGGGUAUCGAACAGG